Molecule: ribosomal RNA, 1490 nt
Filed under: metagenome
Description: bacterial LSU rRNA
Rfam family: Bacterial large subunit ribosomal RNA
Source: RNAcentral
CGUAGCCGAUGGACAACAGGUUGAGAUUCCUGUACUGCAGUAAGACAGAACUGUGGGGACACGUGUGGAGAGCAUAGGCGCGGGAUGGAAAGCCGCGUGCAAGCGAGGUAGGAGUCCUGUAGGAAAAACCGCAGGGCAAUCCGAAGGCGUGAUGCGGACCGAAAUCUAGUAGGGAAGUAUGUGAGCCAUGCGUCAAGAAAAGCCGCUAUUGUUCUUAUUGUACCCGUACCGUAAACCGACACAGGUGGAUGAGGAGAGAAUCCUAAGGCCGACGGAAGAAGCAUUGUUAAGGAACUCGGCAAAAUGACCCCGUAACUUCGGGAGAAGGGGUGCCACAGAAAUGUGGCCGCAGAGAAUAGGCUCAAGCAACUGUUUAGCAAAAACACAGGUCUAUGCAAAACCGAAAGGUGAGGUAUAUGGGCUGACGCCUGCCCGGUGCUGGAAGGUUAAGAGGAGAGGUUAGCGCAAGCGAAGCUUUGAAUUGAAGCCCCAGUAAACGGCGGCCGUAACUAUAACGGUCCUAAGGUAGCGAAAUUCCUUGUCGGGUAAGUUCCGACCCGCACGAAAGGCGUAAUGAUUUGAGCGCUGUCUCGACAAUGCAUCCGGUGAAAUUGAAGUACCAGUGAAGAUGCUGGUUACCUGCGCCAGGACGGAAAGACCCCAUGGAGCUUUACUCCAGCUUGAUACUGGGAUUCGGUAUUGCAUGUACAGGAUAGGUGGGAGGCUGAGAAUCGGUAACGCCAGUUGCCGAGGAGCCGUUGUUGGGAUACCACCCUUGCAGUACUGGGUUUCUAACCAGCAGCCGUGACCCGGCUGGGGGACAAUGUCAGGUGGGGAGUUUGACUGGGGCGGUCGCCUCCGAAAGGGUAUCGGAGGCGCUCAAAGGUUCCCUCAGAAUGGUUGGAAACCAUUCGAAGAGUGCAAAGGCAGAAGGGAGCUUGACUGCGACACCGACGGGUGGAGCAGGUACGAAAGUAGGACUUAGUGAUCCGGUGGUAUUAAGUGGGAAUGCCAUCGCUCAACGGAUAAAAGCUACCCUGGGAUAACAGGCUUAUCACUCCCAAGAGUUCACAUCGACGGAGUGGUUUGGCACCUCGAUGUCGGCUCAUCGCAUCCUGGGGCUGUAGUAGGUCCCAAGGGUUGGGCUGAUCGCCCAUUAAAGCGGUACGCGAGCUGGGUUCAGAACGUCGUGAGACAGUUCGGUCCCUAUCCGGCGUGGGCGUAGGAUAUCUGAGAGGAGCUGUCCUUAGUACGAGAGGACCGGGAUGGACGGACCGCUGGUGUACCUGUUGCAGUGCCAGCUGCAUGGCAGGGUAGCCAAGUCCGGAAGGGAUAAACGCUGAAGGCAUCUAAGCGUGAAGCCCCCCUCAAGAUGAGAUAUCCCAUUUGAAAGAAGUAAGACCCCUUGAAGACGACGAGGUAGAUAGGGCAGAGGUGGAAGUGCAGUAAUGUAUGGAGCUGACUGUUACUAAUCGGUCGAGGGUUUGAUC